GGAUUAGAUACCCUGGUAGUCCACACCGUAAACGCUGUCUACUAGCUGUAUGCGGAUUCAUUUCUGUGUGUAGCGAAGCUAACGCGCUAAGUAGACCGCCUGGGGAGUACGGCCGCAAGGUUAAAACUCAAAUGAAUUGACGGGGGCCCGCACAAGCGGUGGAGCAUGUGGUUUAAUUCGAUGCAACGCGAAGAACCUUACCUACACUUGACAUGCUGAGAAGUUUUUAGAGAUAGAAACGUGCCUUCGGGAACUCAGACACAGGUGCUGCAUGGCUGUCGUCAGCUCGUGCCG
Molecule: ribosomal RNA, 294 nt
Filed under: uncultured bacterium
Lineage: Bacteria
Description: partial 16S ribosomal RNA
Rfam family: Bacterial small subunit ribosomal RNA
Source: RNAcentral